This 1052-nucleotide long non-coding RNA is filed under the name Anas zonorhyncha (Eastern spot-billed duck). Its description in RNAcentral is "lncRNA (ENSAZOG00000013761.1)". Lineage: Eukaryota; Metazoa; Chordata; Aves; Anseriformes; Anatidae. The record is from RNAcentral.
GGCCACCACCCUGCAGCAGGAGGCAGCCACCAGCUCCCCUCCAGCCACGUGCCUGAGCCCCAUCACCCCCCAAAGCCACCGCCGCACCCCAAAAAUCCCCCCUCCAACACCCCAGCACGGGGCUGGGCAGCGCUCAGCCCCCAAUUCCUUGUGGGAGCAGGAGGAGCAGGGCCAGCAGCGGCGCUGCUCCUGAGCUGCCCCCCUCGGGGGAAGGCAGCUUUGUGGUUUUCCUGCAGGAAGAGGCUGCGUUGCGCCACCCUGGGGAGGUGGAAGGGGCACCCCGCAGCUUUAGGGCCUCAGACAAGGCCCCAAAGGCUGUGGGACCCCAACCACUUUAAUCACAGCUGGGGCACCACUGCUGCAGCUCUGCGCCUCCUUCGCUUGCACUGGAAGAAAAGCAGGGGCCAGCAGCUGCAGCACAGCAACAAAACAAAGCAUCCACCUCUGGGCAGCGCAGGGUCAGGCUUCAGUCGUCCCCAAGACAUUCCUGGCACAGCAGCUUCAAAAAGUGACCAGAAAAAUAAAGCACAGGCUCUUCGCUACGACGUCAUUUUAAUUGCAUCGACACCCAGAAAAUACACAAAGGAUACGCGCCGAGAGCCACCCGUCAGAGAGAGGCUUCCUUCCACUGGUGGGUCUUACUUUCACACUUCUCUCACUCCAAAAAAAAAAAUAAUAUAUAUAUAUUUAUAUAUAUAAAAUAAUAAUUGCACCGGUUGAUGUACAAACACAGUCUUCCCUUUUCACACAUUCGCAAGUUCUGCCGCUCCAGCAGGGUCGAGCCCCGGCACCUGCCCCAACGUGUCGGGAGCAGCACCCACGGGAACGAAGGGUUGUACAAAACAGUAUGAAGGUUUUCCUACAGACGUACACCUGCAGUGUUUACUGGUUGGUGGUGGUUUCUUUUUUUUUUUUUCCUUUUUUUUUUUUUUUCUUAAAGUUUCAAAACUAGGUUUUGGGUCACUAAUGGCUUGUAUUUUAUCUACAGUAAAUUCAGCAUAUACUUUUUAUUUUUAGGAAUGUGUAAGGCAUUUUGGUAAGUUGAAGGGUUA